RNAcentral lists this ribosomal RNA (504 nucleotides) under uncultured bacterium. RNAcentral describes it as "bacterial SSU rRNA". It matches the Rfam family "Bacterial small subunit ribosomal RNA", at positions 30 to 518 of the family's 1533-position model. The record is from RNAcentral.
AUUGAACGCUGGCGGCAUGCCUAACACAUGCAAGUCGAACGGCAGCAUAGAGUCUAGCUUGCUAGACUGGGUGGCGAGUGGCGAACGGGUGAGUAACGCGUAGGAAUGUGCCUUAGAGAGGGGGACAACUUGGGGAAACUCAAGCUAAUACCGCAUACGCUCUUCGGAGUAAAGCUGGGGACCUUCGGGCCUGGCGCUUUAAGAACAGCCUGCGUCCGAUUAGCUAGUUGGUGGGGUAAAGGCCUACCAAGGCGACGAUCGGUAGCUGGUCUGAGAGGAUGGUCAGCCACACUGGGACUGAGACACGGCCCAGACUCUUACGGGAGGCAGCAGUGGGGAAUAUUGGACAAUGGGGGCAACCCUGAUCCAGCAAUGCCGCGUGUGUGAAGAAGGCCUGAGGGUUGUAAAGCACUUUCAGUGGGGAGGAGGGUUAUUAGGUUAAGAGCCAGAUAAUUGGACGUUACCCACAGAAGAAGCACCGGCUAACUCCGUGCCAGCAGCCGC